GGCUGUCCACCUUGGGUGCCAGUGGCAAGCCCCAGGUAGCUUCACCCGUGCUUCCAACUGGCUGCAAAGCGGGGUUCCCACACCCCCUCCUCCGGUUUCAUGAAUUGGCCAGCGGCUCCCAGAACACUGAACAUUUCCCAGUUUAUUUCAAAGGACAUAAGGGGAAAGAAGUGCAGGGCACCGGGUCCCCAGGAACACGUCACCCUCCAGGAACCUCCAGGCACCUCCAGGCAGGCAGCUCUCCAGAAGCCGACUACGGUAUAGUUCAUCAGAAGGAGCUAAAAGAUACUGUUUAAAGAAAUAGAAAAUUCAGGGCUGGGGCUGUAGCUCAGUGGCAGAGCGCGUGUGAGGCACUGGGUUCAAUCCUCAGCAUCACAUAAAAAUAAAAGAAAGAAAGGCAUCCUGUCCAUGUACAACUACAAAAAGAAAAUUCAGAAUGUUCUCUCUAUAGCAUGUAAAUAGGUAUGCUAUGGACUGAAUUGGGUUCUCUCCAAAAUUCAUCUGUUGAAUUCCUACCCACCCACCCAGGGGAUGGUUUUUGAAGAUGGGACCCCUGCAGGUAUUUAGGUCGUGAUGGUGGGCCCUCAUCGUGGGAUUGGCACCCUAAUAAGGAGAGGUACCAGGGAGCUUGCUUUCUCCAUGUGAGGACAGAGCAAGAGGACAGUAAUCUCAAAAGAGGGCCCUCACCAGGAACCGAUCAUAAUGGCAUCCUUAUCUUGAACUCCCAGCCUCUGGAAUUAUGAGAAAGUACAUUUUUGUUGUUUCAGCCAUCCCAUCUGUGGCAUUUUGUUAGAGCAGCCUGAGCAGAUUCUACUACAAUAUAAAAGGAAUCUCUAAUACAGUGACAUAAACUCCCAAACUAGAAGACAUAUGUUCUCAAAGCAAACAUAGACCAACUAGCAGAGAUUUAGAAUAUAAAAUGUGUAGUCAGAGCUAUAACCAGACAUUUUCUCUUAUCCUUAAGUAAAAAUGGAUUAAAUUCCACUAUUAGGUCUUAGAUAAACUCAUAAAGCAAAAACUAUAUAAAUUACAUAGAAGAGAUCAGAUCCAGCCUGCACAGUGGCACAUGCCUGUCAUCCUAGUGACUCAGGAGGCUGGGGCAGGAAGAUUCCAAGUUCAAGGCUGACUUUAGCAAAUCAGUGAGACCCUCAGCAAUUUCUGGGAUGUAGCUUAAAGUAUCAAAACAAGAAAUAGCAAGGCAACACAACAUUGCCCUGUCUGCUGCCAGGCUCAGCCUCAACAAUUGCUGAAAACACUGGAAACAGAGAGGCGGGCCAUUGACCCA
This 1285-nucleotide long non-coding RNA is filed under the name Marmota monax (woodchuck). The record is from RNAcentral. Lineage: Eukaryota; Metazoa; Chordata; Mammalia; Rodentia; Sciuridae.